ACUCCUACGGGAGGCAGCAGUGGGGAAUCUUGGACAAUGGGGGCAACCCUGAUCCAGCCAUGCCGCGUGAGUGAUGAAGGCCCUAGGGUCGUAAAGCUCUUUCGCCUGUGAUGAUAAUGACAGUAGCAGGUAAAGAAACCCCGGCUAACUCCGUGCCAGCAGCCGCGGUAAUACGGAGGGGGUUAGCGUUGUUCGGAAUUACUGGGGCGUAAAGCGCGCGUAGGCGGAUUGGAAAGUUGGGGGUGAAAUCCCGGGGGCUCAACCCCGGAACUGCCUCCAAAACUCCCAGUCUUGAGUUCGAGAGAGGUGAGUGGAAUUCCGAGUGUAGAGGUGAAAUUCGUAGAUAUUCGGAGGAACACCAGUGGCGAAGGCGGCUCACUGGCUCGAUACUGACGCUGAGGUGCGAAAGUGUGGGGAGCAAACAGGAUUAGAUACCCUGGUAGGAUAGCG
This 450-nucleotide ribosomal RNA is filed under the name uncultured bacterium. RNAcentral's name for it is "bacterial SSU rRNA". It matches the Rfam family "Bacterial small subunit ribosomal RNA", at positions 335 to 799 of the family's 1533-position model. The record is from RNAcentral.